This 68-nucleotide transfer RNA is filed under the name Entiminae sp. GENSP01. Its description in RNAcentral is "tRNA-Pro". Lineage: Eukaryota; Metazoa; Arthropoda; Insecta; Coleoptera; Curculionidae. The record is from RNAcentral.
CAGGAAGUAGUUUAAUAAAAAUUUUAAUUUUGGAGAUUAAAGAUAGGGAUAGUAUACUCUUUUCCUGA